UCGAGGAUCUUCGGCAAUGGGCGCAAGCCUGACCGAGCGACGCCGCGUGGAGGAUGAAGGCCUUCGGGUUGUAAACUCCUGUCGAGGGGGAUAAAAGCGAAAGCUUGAUAGAUCCCUGGAGGAAGCACGGGCUAAGUUCGUGCCAGCAGCCGCGGUAAGACGAACCGUGCAAACGUUGUUCGGAAUCACUGGGCUUAAAGGGCGCGUAGGCGGCUUACCAAGUCGGGGGUGAAAUCCAGCAGCUUAACUGUUGAAGUGCCUUCGAUACUGACGAGCUAGAGGAAGGUAGGGGUGUGUGGAACUUCUGGUGGAGCGGUGAAAUGCGUUGAUAUCAGAAGGAACGCCGGUGGCGAAAGCGACGCACUGGACCUUUUCUGACGCUGAGGCGCGAAAGCUAGGGUAGCGAACGGGAUUAGAUACCCCGGUAGUCC
RNAcentral lists this ribosomal RNA (431 nucleotides) under uncultured bacterium. RNAcentral describes it as "bacterial SSU rRNA". It matches the Rfam family "Bacterial small subunit ribosomal RNA", at positions 355 to 796 of the family's 1533-position model. The record is from RNAcentral.